UUACAGGCAAACAAAAACAAUAGAAAAGUGGUAUAAGUCAGUAGGUCUGUUGACUAAAACUUUAAACACAAAAAGUACAAUUAUAUUGUCCACUGAAAGGGCUUUUCUUAAUCUGACAACUGGACACAGAUAUUGGCCCAUGUCAAUCUCAACAUGGCCAAAUAUCAAACUAUAAAUUUGAAGGUUCCCAGGAAAAUUUUCAUCAGGAUUCACAGAUUAUGUAAUAGGAAAAACUAACAUCCCUCUGAUAGCACGGCUUUGUUUAUUGUUCUUAACAUGUUGGUGCAAGCUUGGCAGUUAAUAAGCUGGGCUUUAAAUGUGAAUGUCACUUAGGAGAA
Molecule: long non-coding RNA, 338 nt
Organism: Rhinichthys klamathensis goyatoka
Lineage: Eukaryota; Metazoa; Chordata; Actinopteri; Cypriniformes; Leuciscidae
Exons: 2
Source: RefSeq, a predicted model, not a curated record